Molecule: long non-coding RNA, 617 nt
Organism: Phyllostomus discolor (pale spear-nosed bat)
Lineage: Eukaryota; Metazoa; Chordata; Mammalia; Chiroptera; Phyllostomidae
Exons: 2
Source: RefSeq, a predicted model, not a curated record
CAUCCAAAAAAACCCUGUGAAAUUCCUUCUCUUCUUCCAUCCGUCCCUUUGUCCCUCCCCUCCAUCAGACAUCUGUUUAUUGAAUAGUCACUGGCAAUCCAUUAGACUGAGAAAGUCAGGGGCUGGGGGAAUACAACCACAGAUCCUCAUUCCUCUCACUACUUAAAAAAUGCAGAGACGGUCCAGCUCUGCAGCUGGUGGGAUUAGGUACGGUUCCGCUCAGCUGUUUAGAACCAAAAGGAAACAUGCAUUUUGCUUUAAUGCUAGUUUUGCAGUUCACCAGAAACAGGGUAACCUUGAACCUUCAAAGGACUAGUUCCUUCAAAGCAUUUGUAAGUGAUGUGAGACUAUAAGUGUAAAACGACGUCCCUUUUGUCUGGCGUGAUUGUCAGCGUGUUUAGAAUCACACUUGUUGGUGAAGAUAAGGUUUCAUUUUGCUCCUUUAUAGUCAGUUUUGAGUUUGCACUAUAGAGACCAGAUCAAGUGUGGCAGAAAAGUAGGCAUUUGCCAGGGAUGAGGAAAGCACUUACUAUUUCAAGCCACUAAUAAAAUAUGGUGUUCGCUGCACAGAGCUCCUAAAAUCCAUGGAAUUUCCUAAGUGGAGAGAACCAAAAACA